Molecule: long non-coding RNA, 356 nt
Organism: Oryza brachyantha (malo sina)
Lineage: Eukaryota; Viridiplantae; Streptophyta; Magnoliopsida; Poales; Poaceae
Exons: 3
Source: RefSeq, a predicted model, not a curated record
CGCUCCUUCAGUCUUGCCUGGUUGGAUCCACUGUGUGGCAUUCUUAUACUACAUUUGUAUCCGCUGCAAGUCUUAAGGAUUAGUUGUGUAUAUUUCUGUCUGCCCUUUGAUUGAGGAGAUCAGAUCUAGCAGGAUGGACAAAUCUGCUUCAUCCGAGUAAACUCAUAUCUACACCUCUCCUUGCAGCACAUACUCGAUCUGAUCAGUGGAUUUCAGUUCUAGUAAGGGAAUCUGAAGGCUCUGUCUUGACGACUGGCUCGAAAUGUUCUGAAAUCUCUUCGACACUUUGGAUUAUCCAAUCAGUUGCUUUUGGUCUCCAUUAAGCUCUCAGUGUAUCGAGAUCUUAAUAGUGGAUA